Molecule: transfer RNA, 83 nt
Filed under: Coprinellus micaceus
Lineage: Eukaryota; Fungi; Basidiomycota; Agaricomycetes; Agaricales; Psathyrellaceae
Rfam family: tRNA
About the family: Transfer RNA (tRNA) molecules are approximately 80 nucleotides in length. Their secondary structure includes four short double-helical elements and three loops (D, anti-codon, and T loops). Further hydrogen bonds mediate the characteristic L-shaped molecular structure. tRNAs have two regions of fundamental functional importance: the anti-codon, which is responsible for specific mRNA codon recognition, and the 3' end, to which the tRNAs corresponding amino acid is attached (by aminoacyl-tRNA synthetases). tRNAs cope with the degeneracy of the genetic code in two manners: having more than one tRNA (with a specific anti-codon) for a particular amino acid; and 'wobble' base-pairing, i.e. permitting non-standard base-pairing at the 3rd anti-codon position.
Source: Rfam by way of RNAcentral
UCCUCCUUAGCUCAGUUGGUAGAGCGCAUCACUUGUAUUUCCACGCGAUGAUGAGGUCAGUCGUUCGAGUCGGCUAGGGGGAA